AGGUCAUUUUGAGGGCAAUUUCUUAGUAACCCUUUAUAGCGUUCCCAUGCCUGAUAAAGUGACUCACCCGCGUUUUGCUCAAAGUUGGUGAUUGCCUUCUUGAUUUU
Molecule: small nucleolar RNA, 107 nt
Organism: Lactuca sativa (garden lettuce)
Lineage: Eukaryota; Viridiplantae; Streptophyta; Magnoliopsida; Asterales; Asteraceae
Source: RefSeq, a predicted model, not a curated record